This 427-nucleotide ribosomal RNA is filed under the name Vairimorpha apis. Its description in RNAcentral is "Nosema apis partial small subunit ribosomal RNA". It matches the Rfam family "Microsporidia small subunit ribosomal RNA", at positions 41 to 461 of the family's 1311-position model. Lineage: Eukaryota; Fungi; Microsporidia; Nosematidae. The record is from RNAcentral.
GAUUGACCCAUGCAUGUCUUUGACGUACUAUGUACUGAAAGAUGGACUGCUCAGUAAUACUCACUUUAUUUGAUGUACAUUAUACAUAACUACGUUAAAGUGUAGCUAACAUAUGUACAGUAAGAGUGAGACCUAUCAGCUAGUUGUUAAGGUAAUGGCUUAACAAGGCAAUAACGGGUAACGGUAUUACUUUGUAAUAUUCCGGAGAAGGAGCCUGAGAGACGGCUACUAAGUCUAAGGAUUGCAGCAGGGGCGAAACUUGACCUAUGGAUAUUAUCUGAGGCAGUUAUGGGAAGUAACAUAGUUGUUUCACAUUUUAAACGUAUGUGAGCAGAUUAAUUGGAGGGCAAAUCGAGUGCCAGCAGCCGCGGUAAUACUUGUUCCAAGAGUGUGUAUGAUGAUUGAUGCAGUUAAAAAGUCCGUAGUU